Molecule: ribosomal RNA, 360 nt
Filed under: uncultured Caldisericum sp.
Lineage: Bacteria; Pseudomonadati; Caldisericota; Caldisericia; Caldisericales; Caldisericaceae
Description: bacterial SSU rRNA
Rfam family: Bacterial small subunit ribosomal RNA
Source: RNAcentral
AAGGUCAUGGCUCAUCCACAGGUGCUGCAUGGUUGUCGUCAGCUCGUGUCGUGAGAUGUAGGUUAAGUCCUUGAACGAGCGCAACCCCUUCGUCAGUUGCAAACCAGCAAUGGCGCACCCUGACGAUACUGCCAGCUAAAGUUGGAGAAGGAGGGGAUGACGUCAAAUCCUCAUGGCCUUUAUGUCCAGGGCUACACACAUGCGACAAUGGUCGGUACAACGGGUUGCAACACCGCGAGGUGAAGCCAAUCCCUAAAACCGACCUCAGUUCAGAUUGCAGACUGCAAUUCGUCUACAUGAAGAUGGAGUUGCUAGUAACCGCGGGUCAGCUACACCGCGGUGAAUAUGUUCCCGGGCCUU